AGAGUUUGAUCAUGGCUCAGAACGAACGUUGGCGGCGUGGAUUAGGCAUGCAAGUCGAACGAAUCCCAGCUUUGUAGCAAUACCGAGCUGGGGGAAGUGGCGAAAGGGGCAGUAAUGCGUGGGUAAUCUACCUCGGGGACGUGGAUAGCCAUUCUAACGAGUGGGUAAUACGCGGCGAUUUGGUUGAGGGGCAUCCCUUGGCCAGGAAAUGAAUUUCGCCUCGAGAGGAACUCACGUGAUAUUAGCUAGUUGGCGGGGUAACGGCCCACCAAGGCAAAGAUGUCUAGCGGGUGUGAGAGCACGACCCGCGCCACUGGCACUGAGACACUGGCCAGACACCUACGGGUGGCUGCAGUCGAGGAUCUUCGGCAAUGGGCGCAAGCCUGACCGAGCGACGCCGCGUGUGCGAUGAAGGCCUUCGGGUUGUAAAGCACUGUCGAGGGGGAGGAAGCCGAAAGGUUGACCUAUCCCUGGAGGAAGCACGGGCUAAGUUCGUGCCAGCAGCCGCGGUAAGACGAACCGUGCGAACGUUGUUCGGAAUCACUGGGCUUAAAGGGCGCGUAGGCGGCUUGCCAAGUCAGGGGUGAAAUCCUGCAGCUUAACUGUAGAAGGGCCUUUGAUACUGGCGAGCUCGAGGGAGGUAGGGGUAUGUGGAACUUCCGGUGGAGCGGUGAAAUGCGUUGAUAUCGGAAGGAACGCCGGUGGCGAAAGCGACGUACUGGACCUCUUCUGACGCUGAGGCGCGAAAGCUAGGGGAGCAAACGGGAUUAGAUACCCCUGUAGUCC
This 786-nucleotide ribosomal RNA is filed under the name uncultured bacterium. Its description in RNAcentral is "bacterial SSU rRNA". It matches the Rfam family "Bacterial small subunit ribosomal RNA", at positions 8 to 796 of the family's 1533-position model. The record is from RNAcentral.